GAUGACAAUGAUGAUGAUGAUGAUGAUGUUGAUGAUGAUGAUAAUAAUAAUAACAUUAUUAUUAUGAAUAAUGAUAAUUAUAAUAAUGAUAAUUAUAAUAAUAAAAUAUAAAGAAAAAUUUUUGCAUUGUUAAACGUCAAGACGUAUUUUCCUUAUUUUAUUUCACAGAGUUUUACACGUUCAUUCAAUCAACAAAUGGAGAAAUAAUAAUCUAUAAAUACGGUGGCAUGAUCAAUUAUUUCGAUUACUGAAAGAUCAUCCAAAAAAAAAAAAAAAGAAAAAAAAAAAAGAAAAGAAACAAACAAAUUGACAAAUACGAGAUACAUGAUAUUAUUACUUUUGACAAAUAACGAAACGGAUUACUACAAUGUUCUACUUGUCUACUUGUCUCUGAUUGUAUUAUUCAUGGCAUUACCGCAUGAAGGAGAUUAACAGAGAGAUUAAACGAUCAGUUGUUAUAGGAAACUGGUAGUAUGAUGAGAGAAUGAAAGAGAGAGAGAGAGAGAGAGGAACGAAUUUUAAUGGAAUCACUAAAGAUGCAACAACAUGUUCUGACGUAAAUCAACUGGAAUACCCGAUCAAUCAAAUGAGUUAUCAUCGACAAAGGAAGAAAAAUUGAAGGUUGGUAAUCGUCCUAAAUAUCAAUUGAAAAUCAGUAUACCUUUGGAUAAAUUAAGUGGAUACAUACCAAGAAAUCCGACAACAUCUAAUCGUGAUGAAAAUAAUCGUAAUGAAUCGAAGAGUUCAAGUUCGUCGAAGAAAAAACAAAAAUAAUAAACGAAAUCUGUUCCUAAUCGAAAAUAUUCUCUUAUCGCAUAUCGCACUCGUUGGUUUUUACGACGAAGUAAACAAAAAAACAAAAACAAGAAAAAAAAAAAAAAAAAAAGAAAAAAAAAAUGGAAGACCAAUUAAAAAAUACCAUUCAAUCCGAUUUUCUUUCUAAUAAAUAAAAGAGAUCAUUGCCUAUAUUGAAACAAACAAACAAACAAACAAACAAAUAAAUAAAUAAAUAAAUACAAAUGUCGAGAGAUUAAAAAGUAACAAAAUCCGGGACUUUUGCCCUUGACCUCAUUUCGUUUGAGGCUCUCGUAAUAAAUUAAAAUAAAAAUAAGGAAUUUACAAAAGGGAAAAAA
Molecule: long non-coding RNA, 1133 nt
Organism: Vespa velutina
Lineage: Eukaryota; Metazoa; Arthropoda; Insecta; Hymenoptera; Vespidae
Exons: 2
Source: RefSeq, a predicted model, not a curated record